This 925-nucleotide small RNA is filed under the name Williamsoniiplasma luminosum. Its description in RNAcentral is "bacterial LSU rRNA". The stretch from base 433 to 925 matches the Rfam family "Bacterial large subunit ribosomal RNA", at positions 1 to 497 of the family's 2925-position model. Lineage: Bacteria; Bacillati; Mycoplasmatota; Mollicutes; Entomoplasmatales. The record is from RNAcentral.
CCGCCCGUCAAACCACGAGAGUUGGUAAUACCAGAAGUAGGUAGCUUAACCGUAAGGAGAGCGCAUCCCAAGGUAGGACUAGCGAUUGGGGUUAAGUCGUAACAAGGUAUCCCUACGGGAACGUGGGGAUGGAUCACCUCCUUUCUAUGGAGAUAAUUUAUUAAAACACAUAGUAGUGUCUAUGUGUGACUGUUUGGUUCUAUUUAGUUUUCAGAGGUUAUUUUUAUAAUCUCUGAAAAAAUCAGAAUUGUUCUUUGAAAACUGAAUAUUAGAUGAAAUAUAAUUUUCUUACUUGUUAUUAGUAAUAAUAACAAUUAAAAAACAAAUUUUUGAUCAUUGCUGUAAGGCAAUGAUCUUAAAGACAUCAGUAAUAAACUAAAAUUACAAAAUUAAAAAUAAAUAUAAUAUAUUUAUAUGCCAAAUAGAUUUUUUCUAAAAAAUAGUAAGGGCGUAUGGUGAAUGCCUUGGAAAAUGGAGCCGAAGAAAGUCGUGACUACCUGCGAAAAGCAUCGGGGAGCUGGAAGUGAGCUUUGAUCCGGUGAUGACUGAAUGGGGAAACCUAACAUGUUUACAUGUUGUCUGAUCAGUGAAUACAUAGCUGACAUGACGGGAACCUUGGGAACUGAAACAUCUUAGUACCAAGAGGAAAAGAAAAUAAAAAUGAUUCCCCUAGUAGCGGCGAGCGAACGGGGAAAAGGCCAAACCAUCCUACGGGAUGGGGUUGUAGGACUUUUGUUAGAGUUACAAAAUUAACGUAUAGUAGAACAGAUUGGGAAAUCUGAGCACAGAGGGUGAUACUCCCGUAUACGAAAUGCGUUAAUCUCGAAGAAGUAUCCUGAGUACGGCGAAGCACGUGAAACUUUGUCGGAAUCCGCCGAGACCACUCGGCAAGCCUAAAUACUACCAUUUUACCGAUAGUGAACCA